Molecule: ribosomal RNA, 498 nt
Filed under: uncultured bacterium
Lineage: Bacteria
Description: partial 16S ribosomal RNA
Rfam family: Bacterial small subunit ribosomal RNA
Source: RNAcentral
AUUGAACGCUGGCGGCAUGCCUUACACAUGCAAGUCGAACGGUAACAGGUCCUCGGAUGCUGACGAGUGGCGAACGGGUGAGUAAUACAUCGGAACGUGCCUAGUAGUGGGGGAUAACUACUCGAAAGAGUGGCUAAUACCGCAUGAGAUCUACGGAUGAAAGCAGGGGAUCGCAAGACCUUGUGCUACUAGAGCGGCCGAUGGCAGAUUAGGUAGUUGGUGGGAUAAAAGCUUACCAAGCCGACGAUCUGUAGCUGGUCUGAGAGGACGAUCUGCAACACUGGGACGGCGACACGCCCCAUACUCCUAUGGGGGGCAGCAUUGGGGCAUUUUGGACAAUGGGCCCAAGCCUGUUCCAGCAAUGCCGCGUGCAGGAUGAAGGCCUUCGGUUUGUAAACUGCUUUUGUACGGAACGAAAAGUCCCGGGUUAAUACCCUGGGGUCAUGACGGUACCGUAAGAAUAAGCACCGGCUAACUACGUGCCAGCAGCCGCCGUAA